GACGAACGCUGGCGGCGUGCUUAACACAUGCAAGUCGAGCGGUAAGGCCCUUUCGGGGGUACGACGAGCGGCGAACGGGUGAGUAACACGUGGGUGACCUGCCCUCAGCUCUGGGAUAAGCCUGGGAAACCGGGUCUAAUACUGGAUAUGACUCCAUGACGCAUGUUGUGGGGUGGAAAGCCUUGUGCGGCUGAGGAUGGGGCCCGCGGCCUAUCAGCUUGUUGGUGGGGUGAGGCCUACCAAGGCGACGACGGGUAGCCGGCCUGAGAGGGCGACCGGCCACACUGGGACUGAGACACGGCCCAGACUCCUACGGGAGGCAGCAGUGGGGAAUCUUGCGCAAUGGGCGAAAGCCUGACGCAGCGACGCCGCGUGAGGGAUGACGGCCUCG
This 391-nucleotide ribosomal RNA is filed under the name uncultured bacterium. RNAcentral describes it as "bacterial SSU rRNA". It matches the Rfam family "Bacterial small subunit ribosomal RNA", at positions 28 to 419 of the family's 1533-position model. The record is from RNAcentral.